Zonotrichia leucophrys gambelii is the source of this 718-nucleotide long non-coding RNA. RefSeq lists it as uncharacterized. NCBI's taxonomy places the organism in Eukaryota, Metazoa, Chordata, Aves, Passeriformes, Passerellidae. The transcript has 4 exons. The record is from RefSeq and is a predicted model, not a curated record.
GAGCAGGGCAGCUCUGCUCCCUUUGUAGGGUAUUCCUGGACCCCUCAUGGCUGUGGGGUGUUCCUGGUGUGGGAUCCUUCAUGGCUGAGGAGAGUGGCCGCUUCUCUCUGAGGGCAGGAGCCAGUUCUGCCACUGCCAAGCAGCCCCGAGACACCGAGUGCUGAGCCCAGCGAUCCUGCACGGGCAGCGCCGCUGACAAAGCCCGCGAAGAGGCGAAGGAGCCGCGGGAAGCGCUCCCUCCCCGGCCGCUGCCUCCCGGAAGAUGGAGCUGUUUCCCUGACACAGCUGAUGGAGACCUGGAAUGCCAGACCUCGUGCAAAUCAUGUUGGGGUGUUCUGGAGCAGGACUGCUGCCUCUGCCCCCACACUGCAGCUGCCGUGGGGCUGUCCCUCACUGACCCUCACUGUUCCUGCUCCAUCCAGAGCAUUCCCAGCUGUGCUGAGCAGGACCUGGUGCUCUCAGGGAGAGCUCCUGAGAGACUGAUUCUUUCUGGGAAUGUCCACGUGGACACAUCCAAUGGAGAAGAAAGCAUAGUCUGGCUCCUCAGGUUGGGGGGAGGCUGGUUCACAAGUAACCAUGGCAACCAGGCUGUCACUGGGAGCACCAAGACAUUUUCAUACCAAAAAUAAAAUAGCCCAAACACACAACAGACAUUCCCACUCCAGCCUCCUUGGAGAUCCUACCUCAGUUUUGUUCCUCAGGGAUCCUGGCAGCAGCA